This 29-nucleotide non-coding RNA is filed under the name Rattus norvegicus (Norway rat). Lineage: Eukaryota; Metazoa; Chordata; Mammalia; Rodentia; Muridae. The record is from RNAcentral.
UAGUGCUGCUUCCAAAGCCUCUGGGAGAU